Molecule: long non-coding RNA, 983 nt
Filed under: Eutrema salsugineum
Lineage: Eukaryota; Viridiplantae; Streptophyta; Magnoliopsida; Brassicales; Brassicaceae
Description: long non-coding RNA (ESAL_LNC000023)
Source: RNAcentral
AGUAAAUUACAUUGGUGAAUCAUUUUCAAUGCUAUAUUAUAUUAGAUUGUUAUUGAGAAAUUAUAUUAUAAGCUAAGAGCAUGUACAAUGGGAAAGACACAUAAAGGUCUCUUAACUAAUUUUUUAUUAUUAAGAUGGGUUUGAAGACCCAAUUAAAAAAUUUGCAUUUUUAUGAGGUCCAACGGAGAAAUCUAAUUAGAUUUCUAGAAAUCGGCGGCGAAGUACAUCCUCUGCGACGCCUUGUUACUGCAAGCUAUGGAUCAAACAUUUCCCUUCACAAAAAGCGCUUCUCCCUCUCUCCUCUUUCUCCGACGCUUCGUCUCCGCCGAAACCAUCCACUUCAGCUCCGAAAUUUCACUUCGAUGCCGACGCAAUUCGAAGAGUCUCCGAUAAACAGAUCUCACUCCGAGUCUCUGUCUAUUCCGGCCGUACUGGCGACACUUGCAGCGUCGCAUCCGGUAAGCUUCUAGGCAGAGUCGAAGUAACAGUGGAUCUCGCGGCUGUGCUUUCUAGAAUCGUCGCGUUCCAUAGCUGUUACAAGAAACUCGGCGGAGAAGGAGACAACUGAUUCACGACUUGUCUAGAUUUAUUUUAAACCCAUUAUAAAUGUUUUCUCCUCUGAUUUUUGUUUUGUCCAAUAACAUUAAGCCACGUGUAAUUUAGAGACGUCUCUUGCAUCUCCUAAAUAAGAGACUUUUUAGCAAAUUAUUUCCUUUCUGAUUUAGUUAAAUGCAAAAAAAAUCUAAGAGACCCUGCUAAAUACCCGGUUGCACAUGCUCUAACUAUCUGUUCAUGAUCGUGAAAAGUGAAAUCCAAUUUCGAACGUAUCGAUUUAAUUAAAGAUUACGUGUGGCAAAUCUCCAUAUCAUAUCUAGUGGUUGUUAUUACACUAAAAUAGGGACAAACCUGUAUGUUGGAGGCUUGGAGCUAAGCUAUAUUGCCGACGUCAAUAAAAAAAAAAGAUGAAGCUAGCUUGUGUUGUG